CCUACGGGGGGCAGCAGUGGGGAAUAUUGCACAAUGGGCGCAAGCCUGAUGCAGCCAUGCCGCGUGUGUGAAGAAGGCCUUCGGGUUGUAAAGCACUUUCAGCGGGGAGGAAGGCGGUGAGGUUAAUAACCUCAUCGAUUGACGUUACCCGCAGAAGAAGCACCGGCUAACUCCGUGCCAGCAGCCGCGGUAAUACGGAGGGUGCAAGCGUUAAUCGGAAUUACUGGGCGUAAAGCGCACGCAGGCGGUCUGUCAAGUCGGAUGUGAAAUCCCCGGGCUCAACCUGGGAACUGCAUUCGAAACUGGCAGGCUAGAGUCUUGUUGAGGGGGGUAGAAUUCCAGGUGUAGCGGUGAAAUGCGUAGAGGUCUGGAGGAAUACCGGUGGCGAAGGCGGCCCCCUGGACAAAGACUGACGCUCAGGUGCGAAAGCGUGGGGAGCAAACAGGAUUAGAUACCCUAGUAGUC
Molecule: ribosomal RNA, 465 nt
Filed under: uncultured Klebsiella sp.
Lineage: Bacteria; Pseudomonadati; Pseudomonadota; Gammaproteobacteria; Enterobacterales; Enterobacteriaceae
Description: bacterial SSU rRNA
Rfam family: Bacterial small subunit ribosomal RNA
Source: RNAcentral